Molecule: signal recognition particle RNA, 96 nt
Filed under: Coriobacteriia bacterium
Lineage: Bacteria; Bacillati; Actinomycetota; Coriobacteriia
Description: signal recognition particle sRNA small type
Rfam family: Bacterial small signal recognition particle RNA
About the family: The signal recognition particle (SRP) is a universally conserved ribonucleoprotein involved in the co-translational targeting of proteins to membranes. Archaeal SRP consists of a 7S RNA and homologues of the eukaryotic SRP19 and SRP54 proteins.
Source: RNAcentral
GACCGGGGUCCGGACGGCGGUACGGCGUGAACCUGGUCAGGUCCGGAAGGAAGCAGCCAUAAGCGUCCUCUACCGGGCGUCCGGGUCCCGCUCGGG